RNAcentral lists this ribosomal RNA (465 nucleotides) under Vreelandella stevensii. RNAcentral describes it as "partial 16S ribosomal RNA". It matches the Rfam family "Bacterial small subunit ribosomal RNA", at positions 338 to 795 of the family's 1533-position model. Lineage: Bacteria; Pseudomonadati; Pseudomonadota; Gammaproteobacteria; Oceanospirillales; Halomonadaceae. The record is from RNAcentral.
CCUACGGGUGGCAGCAGAGGGGAAUAUUGGACAAUGGGGGCAACCCUGAUCCAGCCAUGCCGCGUGUGUGAAGAAGGCCCUCGGGUUGUAAAGCACUUUCAGUGAGGAAGAACGCCUGGUGGUUAAUACCCAUCAGGAAAGACAUCACUCACAGAAGAAGCACCGGCUAACUCCGGGCCAGCAGCCGCGGUAAUACGGCGGGGGCGAGCGUUAAUCGGAAUUACUGGGCGUAAAGCGCGCGUAGGUGGCUUGAUAAGCCGGUUGUGAAAGCCCCGGGCUCAACCUGGGAACGGCAUCCGGAACUGUCAAGCUAGAGUGCAGGAGAGGAAGGUAGAAUUCCCGGUGUAGCGGUGAAAUGCGUAGAGAUCGGGAGGAAUACCAGUGGCGAAGGCGGCCUUCUGGACUGACACUGACACUGAGGUGCGAAAGCGUGGGUAGCAAACAGGAUUAGAUACCCUAGUAGUC